RNAcentral lists this ribosomal RNA (305 nucleotides) under uncultured bacterium. RNAcentral describes it as "bacterial SSU rRNA". It matches the Rfam family "Bacterial small subunit ribosomal RNA", at positions 336 to 633 of the family's 1533-position model. The record is from RNAcentral.
UUCCUACGGGAGGCAGCAGUGGGGAAUUUUGGACAAUGGGCGCAAGCCUGAUCCAGCCAUGCCGCGUGUCUGAAGAAGGCCUUCGGGUUGUAAAGGACUUUUGUCAGGGAAGAAAAGGACAGGGAUAAUACCCCUGUCUGAUGACGGUACCUGAAGAAUAAGCACCGGCUAACUACGUGCCAGCAGCCGCGGUAAUACGUAGGGUGCGAGCGUUAAUCGGAAUUACUGGGCGUAAAGCGGGCGCAGACGGUUACUUAAGCAGGAUGUGAAAUCCCCGGGCUCAACCUGGGAACUGCGUUCUGAAC